GACGAACGCUGGCGGCGUGCUUAACACAUGCAAGUCGAGCGGUAAGGCCCUUUCGGGGGUACGACGAGCGGCGAACGGGUGAGUAACACGUGGGUGACCUGCCCUCAGCUCUGGGAUAAGCCUGGGAAACCGGGUCUAACACCGGAUAUGACUCCAUGACGCAUGUUGUGGGGUGGAAAGCCUUGUGCGGCUGAGGAUGGGCCCGCGGCCUAUCAGCUUGUUGGUGGGGUGANGGCCUACCAAGGCGACGACGGGUAGCCGGCCUGAGAGGGCGACCGGCCACACUGGGACUGAGACACGGCCCAGACUCCUACGGGAGGCAGCAGUGGGGAAUCUUGCGCAAUGGGCGAAAGCCUGACGCAGCGACGCCGCGUGAGGGAUGACGGCCU
This 389-nucleotide ribosomal RNA is filed under the name uncultured bacterium. RNAcentral's name for it is "bacterial SSU rRNA". It matches the Rfam family "Bacterial small subunit ribosomal RNA", at positions 28 to 417 of the family's 1533-position model. The record is from RNAcentral.